GCCCAACUAUAACACAACAAUCAAAUUACCAAUUGUUCGCCAAAUAACUACGAGUAAAAACUUAAAAUUUAAAAGACUUGACGGUACCUCAAAACAACCUAGAGGAGCCUGUCCAUUAACCGAUACUCCACGAUCAACCCAACCCACCCUAGCCUAACAGUCUAUAUACCGCCGUCGCCAGCCUACCUUGUGAAAGAAACAAAGUGAGCCCAAUAGUCACACACUAACACGACAGGUCGAGGUGUAACUUAUGGGGGGGCCAAGAUGGGCUACAUUUUCUAAUACAGAAAAUACGAAUUAAUCCAUGAAACAAGAAACUGAAGGAGGAUUUAGCAGUACACUAGGAACAACAUACCUAGUCGAAAUCAACGCAAUGAGGUGCGUACACACCGCCCGUCAUCCCUGUUAAACAACCACAAAACGUAUAUAAACACAAACUACCACUAAAGCAGGGCAAGUCGUAACAUGGUAAGCGUACUGGAAAGUGCGCUUAGAAA
RNAcentral lists this ribosomal RNA (497 nucleotides) under Elaphe zoigeensis (Zoige ratsnake). Its description in RNAcentral is "partial 12S ribosomal RNA". It matches the Rfam family "Bacterial small subunit ribosomal RNA", at positions 875 to 1520 of the family's 1533-position model. The record is from RNAcentral. Lineage: Eukaryota; Metazoa; Chordata; Lepidosauria; Squamata; Colubridae.